UUGGAUCCAAUGACCUUUUAUUGCUUUGGAAGGGUACAGAGUUGGCAAGCCCUCUCAGGCUGUUGUGAAGUUAAACCACACAGAGGAGCCAACCGCUGCCCUGCCAAGUACAGGCAGGGGCUGAUGGUCCAUCCUACUACACAAAUCAAUCAAUCAUACUGUACAUCAGUCAUUCAUUUAAUUUUAUUCAUCAACCUGUGCUUCUCAGAUUCCCAUUGUUUUGUGCUGUCAGAAUAAAUAGGUUAGUUAGCAACGACAAAAACAACUUCAGAAAGGUACAAAACAGGUACAGAACACUCAAUAUAUACCGUCGUAUGUUUACAAUUGUAAAAAUAAAAAAAAACACUAGAGAUGUUCACUUAAUAUAAGCUACAGUAGUUUUCUUAUGUCUAGACCCCAGUUUAUGGUAAAUCUAUAGUAAAAUGUGACUUAAUUCUAUCCAAGGACUUGGUACGAUGAAAUGAUUGUAUAGUAAGUACCCAAUACUUAGUUGGGUAGUCUGUAUGGGUGUCUGUGUGUGUGUGUGUGUUUGGUGGUGGUAAGGCAGUGUAAAGGUGACUCUUGGACCUUGCUGGCCCCAUAUAAGAACACAAACACGUGGGUCAUACCACCUGUCAUACCGUCGCAGCCCAUGUGACUAGCUAGCUCAGAGAGACAGCUGUGACUGUGUCUAACUAACCCAGGUCCGCCUGCUCCUUCCUGGAUCACAUGCUGCCCAACUCCUCACCCACCCAAUCAAUGAAGCCACAACCACGACCCAUGUUUUAAGUGAGAGCAAUAUUCAGAGCCAACAUAAACUUACCUCAAAGCUAUCUUGGAAGAGUCACAAAUACCCUGUCCAAUGAAUGGUAAAGAUAGUAUGUAGCUGGAUUGGGGUCGGAGAGUGUGUGUGUGUGUGUGUGUUUGCGUGCGUGUUGUAGGGAAAGUGGUUAAAAAGGGAGCGGGGUCGUUGAGUAGUUCAUUAAGACAGGGACAGACAAGUGGUCAUUCCUUGACAUUCCUGCUGGGUCGCCGUGGAGACAUGAGUUAGGGUUAGAGAAAGGUAUCCUGUUGCAGCACCCUUCCCUACCCUUCCCCUCCCCAGAGCACCUCGUGCCUGCGCGCCCUAUUGCCUAACCAGAUACCUUACCAGAAUGUGAUGUACUCAUACUGUGGUGAGUAUCUGGGAUAUACUGACUGGUAUGUGGUUUAAAGGUCAUACACAGACCUUAGACUGAACAUGCAUAGUGACUGUAUAUCACAUACACUGUACUGUAGGGACCAUGCAGAUAGGUACUGUAGUCACAUACUAUGGCUGUUGUAUGACAUGCAAGUAUAAUAGCAACCAGCAACCUGUGGUUGAAAAUGUGCAUUGAGACAUCCAAGCAUAGCAGGGUACAGUACGUAUUGUAUGUACAUGUGCAACCUCCAACCUAGACAGGCUGACGCUAUAUUCUUUAGUCUGUUGGCACACAGACCCUGUGUGGGUGAUUAUGAAAUGAAGGCCAGGCGCCACAGGCUAAAAUGUCAUUUUUUGGUAUUGGUCCCUUUAAUAUUUUCAAAAAGUAUCAUAUAUUACCGUCAUCAAAAUGUCACGAAUUGUAACCGCUUUAAAAAUGGACAUACAUCCAUAAUUUCAGGGCUCACUACAUUGAAUCACACAUCAUUUAAAUGCCCAUUUUAUAGAGAAUGUUACAAACUGGACUAUAUUGGGACAUUGACACAUUUUGUGUUGUUUUGGCUCUGUAGUCCAGCACUUUGGAUUUGAAAUGAUACAAUGAAUACGAGGCUAACGUAUUCUCAUACCCUCAUGACAGGUAGCCUAGUGGUUAGAGAGUUGGACUUGCAAGGUUGCAAGAUCGAAUCCCCGAGCUGACAAGGUAAAAAUCUGUCGUUCUGCCCCUGAACAACGCGGUUAAUCCACUGUUCCUAGGCCGUCAUUGAAAGUAAGAAUUUGAUCUUAACUUGCCUAGUUAAAUAAAGGUUAAAAAAAAUCCAUAUCAGGUGAACUGUUUUGAAAUUACAGCCUUUUCUGUAUAUAGUCCCCCAAUUUGAGGGGACAAAAAGUAUUGGGAUGAGUUCACUUAUAUGUGUAUUAAAGUUGUCAAAAGUGUAGUAUUUGGUCACAUAUUCCUAGCACGCAAUGAUUACGUCAAGCAUGUGACUCUACAAACUUGUUGGGUGUUUCUGCUGUUUGUUUUGGUUGUGUUUCAGAUCAUUUUCUGCCCAAUAGAAAAUAAUGGUAAAUAACUAAUUAUGUCAGAUUAUAUGUCUA
Oncorhynchus tshawytscha (Chinook salmon) is the source of this 2254-nucleotide long non-coding RNA. Lineage: Eukaryota; Metazoa; Chordata; Actinopteri; Salmoniformes; Salmonidae. The record is from Ensembl.